RNAcentral lists this ribosomal RNA (2986 nucleotides) under Salmonella enterica subsp. enterica serovar Infantis. RNAcentral describes it as "23S ribosomal RNA". It matches the Rfam family "Bacterial large subunit ribosomal RNA". Lineage: Bacteria; Pseudomonadati; Pseudomonadota; Gammaproteobacteria; Enterobacterales; Enterobacteriaceae. The record is from RNAcentral.
GGUUAAGCGACUAAGCGUACACGGUGGAUGCCCUGGCAGUCAGAGGCGAUGAAGGGCGUGCUAAUCUGCGAUAAGCGCCGGUAAGGUGAUAUGAACCGUUAUAACCGGCGAUACCCGAAUGGGGAAACCCAGUGUGACUCGUCACACUAUCAUUAACUGAAUCCAUAGGUUAAUGAGGCGAACCGGGGGAACUGAAACAUCUAAGUACCCCGAGGAAAAGAAAUCAACCGAGAUUCCCCCAGUAGCGGCGAGCGAACGGGGAGGAGCCCAGAGCCUGAAUCAGCAUGUGUGUUAGUGGAAGCGUCUGGAAAGGCGCGCGAUACAGGGUGACAGCCCCGUACACAAAAGCGCAUGUGCUGUGAGCUCGAUGAGUAGGGCGGGACACGUGGUAUCCUGUCUGAAUAUGGGGGACCAUCCUCCAAGGCUAAAUACUCCUGACUGACCGAUAGUGAACCAGUACCGUGAGGGAAAGGCGAAAAGAACCCCGGCGAGGGGAGUGAAAAAGAACCUGAAACCGUGUACGUACAAGCAGUGGGAGCACAGGUUUACCUGUGUGACUGCGUACCUUUUGUAUAAUGGGUCAGCGACUUAUAUUCUGUAGCAAGGUUAACCGAAUAGGGGAGCCGGAGGGAAACCGAGUCUUAACCGGGCGUUAAGUUGCAGGGUAUAGACCCGAAACCCGGUGAUCUAGCCAUGGGCAGGUUGAAGGUUGGGUAACACUAACUGGAGGACCGAACCGACUAAUGUUGAAAAAUUAGCGGAUGACCUGUGGCUGGGGGUGAAAGGCCAAUCAAACCGGGAGAUAGCUGGUUCUCCCCGAAAGCUAUUUAGGUAGCGCCUCGUGAAUUCAUCUCCGGGGGUAGAGCACUGUUUCGGCUAGGGGGCCAUCCCGGCUUACCAACCCGAUGCAAACUGCGAAUACCGGAGAAUGUUAUCACGGGAGACACACGGCGGGUGCUAACGUCCGUCGUGAAGAGGGAAACAACCCAGACCGCCAGCUAAGGUCCCAAAGUCAUGGUUAAGUGGGAAACGAUGUGGGAAGGCCCAGACAGCCAGGAUGUUGGCUUAGAAGCAGCCAUCAUUUAAAGAAAGCGUAAUAGCUCACUGGUCGAGUCGGCCUGCGCGGAAGAUGUAACGGGGCUAAACCAUGCACCGAAGCUGCGGCAGCGAACGUAUCACUUAAAGCGAUUCAGCGGGUUACGAUUGACGGAGCGAAGCGACGUCAAAGCGUAUACAAAGUCGAGUCGGUUUAAGGAUACGUUCGUUGGGUAGGGGAGCGUUCUGUAAGCCUGUGAAGGUGUGUCGUGAGGCAUGCUGGAGGUAUCAGAAGUGCGAAUGCUGACAUAAGUAACGAUAAAGCGGGUGAAAAGCCCGCUCGCCGGAAGACCAAGGGUUCCUGUCCAACGUUAAUCGGGGCAGGGUGAGUCGACCCCUAAGGCGAGGCCGAAAGGCGUAGUCGAUGGGAAACGGGUUAAUAUUCCCGUACUUGGUGUUACUGCGAAGGGGGGACGGAGAAGGCUAUGUUGGCCGGGCGACGGUUGUCCCGGUUUAAGCGUGUAGGCUGGUUUUCCAGGCAAAUCCGGAAAAUCAAGGCUGAGGCGUGAUGACGAGGCACUACGGUGCUGAAGCAACAAAUGCCCUGCUUCCAGGAAAAGCCUCUAAGCAUCAGGUAACAUCAAAUCGUACCCCAAACCGACACAGGUGGUCAGGUAGAGAAUACCAAGGCGCUUGAGAGAACUCGGGUGAAGGAACUAGGCAAAAUGGUGCCGUAACUUCGGGAGAAGGCACGCUGACACGUAGGUGAAGUGAUUUACUCAUGGAGCUGAAGUCAGUCGAAGAUACCAGCUGGCUGCAACUGUUUAUUAAAAACACAGCACUGUGCAAACACGAAAGUGGACGUAUACGGUGUGACGCCUGCCCGGUGCCGGAAGGUUAAUUGAUGGGGUCAGCGCAAGCGAAGCUCCUGAUCGAAGCCCCGGUAAACGGCGGCCGUAACUAUAACGGUCCUAAGGUAGCGAAAUUCCUUGUCGGGUAAGUUCCGACCUGCACGAAUGGCGUAAUGAUGGCCAGGCUGUCUCCACCCGAGACUCAGUGAAAUUGAACUCGCUGUGAAGAUGCAGUGUACCCGCGGCAAGACGGAAAGACCCCGUGAACCUUUACUAUAGCUUGACACUGAACAUUGAGCCUUGAUGUGUAGGAUAGGUGGGAGGCUUUGAAGCGUGGACGCCAGUCUGCGUGGAGCCGACCUUGAAAUACCACCCUUUAAUGUUUGAUGUUCUAACGUGGACCCGUGAUCCGGGUUGCGGACAGUGUCUGGUGGGUAGUUUGACUGGGGCGGUCUCCUCCUAAAGAGUAACGGAGGAGCACGAAGGUUGGCUAAUCCUGGUCGGACAUCAGGAGGUUAGUGCAAUGGCAUAAGCCAGCUUGACUGCGAGCGUGACGGCGCGAGCAGGUGCGAAAGCAGGUCAUAGUGAUCCGGUGGUUCUGAAUGGAAGGGCCAUCGCUCAACGGAUAAAAGGUACUCCGGGGAUAACAGGCUGAUACCGCCCAAGAGUUCAUAUCGACGGCGGUGUUUGGCACCUCGAUGUCGGCUCAUCACAUCCUGGGGCUGAAGUAGGUCCCAAGGGUAUGGCUGUUCGCCAUUUAAAGUGGUACGCGAGCUGGGUUUAGAACGUCGUGAGACAGUUCGGUCCCUAUCUGCCGUGGGCGCUGGAGAACUGAGGGGGGCUGCUCCUAGUACGAGAGGACCGGAGUGGACGCAUCACUGGUGUUCGGGUUGUCAUGCCAAUGGCACUGCCCGGUAGCUAAAUGCGGAAGAGAUAAGUGCUGAAAGCAUCUAAGCACGAAACUUGCCCCGAGAUGAGUUCUCCCUGAGACUUAAAGUCUCCUGAAGGAACGUUGAAGACGACGACGUUGAUAGGCCGGGUGUGUAAGCGCAGCGAUGCGUUGAGCUAACCGGUACUAAUGAACCGUGAGGCUUAACCUU